UUAUUUUAACAAGGCACAGGGGAUGGGGUUUAAUGUUUUAAUCUUUUCCCCAACAACACACUACACAAUUCUUCCUAGAAUUGGUUCAAUAAAAUUUGAUGGAUAAAAGGCAAAAUAAAAGAACAUAUAACACAUCAGUGACAUCACUAGACUACUAGAACCAAAUUGUUUAACUUUGGUUCAUCAAAAUUUGCCGGACAUAGGGCAAAAAAAUAGAACAUAUAAACACAUCCAGAACCACCAGCCCACUAGAACCAAAUUGUUUAACUUUGGUUCAUCAAAAUUUGCUAGACAUAGGGCCAAAUAACAGAACAUAAUAACACAUCCAGCUUCUAAAACAAAUACAACACAAAUACACAAUAUAAAAUCUAAAAUUCAAAGUUUUAAAGUAAUAAACAUCCACAAAUACAAAUUCAUAACAUAAUUCUAUAAUUUAAAGCUGAAAUUUCCAGCCACUGCCCACUAGUGCUCAGAUUUCCAGCCACUGCCCACAGCCCACCAGUGCUCAAAUUUCCAGCCACUGCCCACCAGUACUAAAGACUAAACUCUGAAUCAUGCACUUCAUUGGACUGUUGUUCACUCAUCAAACUUUCAUCAAUUAAAUGCUCUGCAGAAAGUAUUGCUUCCUCUGGAAUUCCAUCUACAAAAAAUGUGUAAAUCAUAAACAUAAUGAACAAGACAACCAAUUAG
Molecule: long non-coding RNA, 690 nt
Filed under: Citrus sinensis (sweet orange)
Lineage: Eukaryota; Viridiplantae; Streptophyta; Magnoliopsida; Sapindales; Rutaceae
Description: long non-coding RNA (CSIN_LNC004041)
Source: RNAcentral